This is a non-coding RNA of Trichonephila inaurata madagascariensis, 72 nucleotides long. The record is from the annotation of a GenBank genome assembly. Lineage: Eukaryota; Metazoa; Arthropoda; Arachnida; Araneae; Nephilidae.
UGGUGUAUAGCUCAGUAGUAGAGCAUUCGACUGCAGGUCGAGAGGUCCCCGGUUCAAAUCCGGGUACUCCCA